RNAcentral lists this ribosomal RNA (372 nucleotides) under uncultured organism. RNAcentral's name for it is "partial 16S ribosomal RNA". It matches the Rfam family "Bacterial small subunit ribosomal RNA", at positions 527 to 896 of the family's 1533-position model. The record is from RNAcentral.
GUAGGUGGCAAGCGUUGUCCGGGAUUAUUGGGCGUAAAGCGCGCGCAGGCGGUUCUUUAAGUCUGAUGUGAAAGCCCACGGCUCAACCGUGGAGGGUCAUUGGAAACUGGAGAACUUGAGUACAGAAGAGGAAAGCGGAGUUCCACGUGUAGCGGUGAAAUGCGUAGAGAUGUGGAGGAACACCAGUGGCGAAGGCGGCUUUCUGGUCUGUAACUGACGCUGAGGCGCGAAAGCGUGAGGAGCAAACAGGAUUAGAUACCCUGGUAGUCCACGCCGUAAACGAUGAGUGCUAAGUGUUAGGGGGUUUCCGCCCCCCUUAGUGCUGCAGCUAACGCAUUAAGCACUCCGCCUGGGAGUACGGCCGCAAGGCUG